RNAcentral lists this ribosomal RNA (521 nucleotides) under uncultured bacterium. RNAcentral describes it as "bacterial SSU rRNA". It matches the Rfam family "Bacterial small subunit ribosomal RNA", at positions 777 to 1297 of the family's 1533-position model. The record is from RNAcentral.
AAUAGAUACCCCGGUAGUCCACGCCGUAAACGAUGUCGACUUGGAGGUUGUGCCCUUGAGGCGUGGCUUCCGGAGCUAACGCGUUAAGUCGACCGCCUGGGGAGUACGGCCGCAAGGUUAAAACUCAAAUGAAUUGACGGGGGCCCGCACAAGCGGUGGAGCAUGUGGUUUAAUUCGAUGCAACGCGAAGAACCUUACCUACUCUUGACAUCCAGAGAACUUAGCAGAGAUGCUUUGGUGCCUUCGGGAACUCUGAGACAGGUGCUGCAUGGCUGUCGUCAGCUCGUGUUGUGAAAUGUUGGGUUAAGUCCCGCAACGAGCGCAACCCUUAUCCUUUGUUGCCAGCGGUUUAGGCCGGGAACUCAAAGGAGACUGCCAGUGAUAAACUGGAGGAAGGUGGGGAUGACGUCAAGUCAUCAUGGCCCUUACGAGUAGGGCUACACACGUGCUACAAUGGCAUAUACAAAGAGAAGCGACCUCGCGAGAGCAAGCGGACCUCAUAAAGUAUGUCGUAGUCCGGA